CUUUUGUGCUGUCGCAGAUGGAUGAGCCUGCGUUGGAUUAGCUAGUUGGUGGGGUAAGGGCCUACCAAGGCUACGAUCCAUAGCUGAUUUGAGAGGAUGAUCAGCCACAUUGGGACUGAGACACGGCCCAAACUCCUACGGGAGGCAGCAGUGAGGAAUAUUGGACAAUGGGGGCAACCCUGAUCCAGCAAUGCCAUGUGUGUGAAGAAGGCCUUAGGGUUGUAAAGCACUUUAGUUGGGGAAGAAAGCUUUGAGGUUAAUAGCCUUGAGGAAGGACGUUACCCAAAGAAUAAGCACCGGCUAACUCCGUGCCAGCAGCCGCGGUAAUACGGGGGGUGCAAGCGUUAAUCGGAAUUACUGGGCGUAAAGGGUCUGUAGGUGGUUUGUUAAGUCAGAUGUGAAAGCCCAGGGCUCAACCUUGGAACUGCAUUUGAUACUGGCAAACUAGAGUACGGUAGAGGAAUGGGGAAUUUCUGGUGUAGCGGUGAAAUGCGUAGAGAUCAGAAGGAACACCAAUGGCGAAGGCAACAUUCUGGACCGAUACUGACACUGAGGGACGAAAGCGUGGGGAUCAAACAGGAUUAGAUACCCUGGUAGUCCACGCUGUAAACGAUGAGUACUAGCUGUUGGAGUCGGUGUAAAGGCUCUAGUGGCGCAGCUAACGCGAUAAGUACUCCGCCUGGGGAACUACGGCCGCAAGGCUAAAACUCAAAGGAAUUGACGGGGACCCGCACAAGCGGUGGAGCAUGUGGUUUAAUUCGAUGCAACGCGAAGAACCUUACCUGGUCUUGACAUCCUGCGAGCUUUCUAGAGAUAGAUUGGUGCCUUCGGGAACGCAGUGACAGGUGCUGCAUGGCUGUCGUCAGCUCGUGUUGUGAAAUGUUGGGUU
This 889-nucleotide ribosomal RNA is filed under the name Francisella endosymbiont of Dermacentor auratus. Its description in RNAcentral is "bacterial SSU rRNA". It matches the Rfam family "Bacterial small subunit ribosomal RNA", at positions 208 to 1081 of the family's 1533-position model. The record is from RNAcentral. Lineage: Bacteria; Pseudomonadati; Pseudomonadota; Gammaproteobacteria; Thiotrichales; Francisellaceae.